This 425-nucleotide ribosomal RNA is filed under the name uncultured bacterium. RNAcentral's name for it is "bacterial SSU rRNA". It matches the Rfam family "Bacterial small subunit ribosomal RNA", at positions 356 to 774 of the family's 1533-position model. The record is from RNAcentral.
GGGGAAUCUUGCGCAAUGGGCGAAAGCCUGACGCAGCGACGCCGCGUGGGUGAUGAAGGCCUUCGGGUUGUAAAGCCCUGUGGAGAGGGACGAAUAAGUUCGACCUAAUACGUCGGGCGAUGACGGUACCUCUUUAGCAAGCACCGGCUAACUCUGUGCCAGCAGCCGCGGUAAGACAGAGGGUGCAAACGUUGUUCGGAAUUACUGGGCGUAAAGCGCGUGUAGGCGGUCGUGCAAGUCGGGUGUGAAAGCCCAGGGCUCAACCCUGGAAGUGCAUUCGAUACUGCAUGGCUAGAGUCCCGGAGAGGAUGGUGGAACUCUCGGUGUAGAGGUGAAAUUCGUAGAUAUCGAGAAGAACACCGGUGGCGAAGGCGGCCAUCUGGACGGUGACUGACGCUGAGACGCGAAAGCAUGGGGAGCAAACA